GAGCGCCUACGGGAGGCAGCAGUGGGGAAUUUUGGACAAUGGGCGCAAGCCUGAUCCAGCUAUUCCGCGUGUGGGAUGACGGCUCUCGGGUUGUAAACCACUUUAGUAGAGAACGAAAAGGAGCUAUCGAAUAAAUAGCUCUGCUGACGGUACUCUAAGAAUAAGCACCGGCUAACUACGUGCCAGCAGCCGCGGUAAUACGUAGGUGGCGAGCGUUAUCCGGAAUGAUUGGGCGUAAAGGGUGCGUAGGCGGCCUGCUAAGUCUGGAGUGAAAGGUACCGGCUCAACCGGUACAGGCUCUGGAA
This 305-nucleotide ribosomal RNA is filed under the name uncultured bacterium. Its description in RNAcentral is "bacterial SSU rRNA". It matches the Rfam family "Bacterial small subunit ribosomal RNA", at positions 333 to 631 of the family's 1533-position model. The record is from RNAcentral.